Molecule: ribosomal RNA, 570 nt
Filed under: Hydrochus aljibensis
Lineage: Eukaryota; Metazoa; Arthropoda; Insecta; Coleoptera; Hydrochidae
Description: SSU rRNA
Rfam family: Eukaryotic small subunit ribosomal RNA
Source: RNAcentral
UGCAUGUCUCAGUACAAGCCAAAUUAAGGUGAAACCGCGAAAGGCUCAUUAAAUCAGUUAUGGUUCCUUAGAUCGUACCACAUUUACUUGGAUAACUGUGGUAAUUCUAGAGCUAAUACAUGCAAACAGAGCUCCGACCGGAGACGGAAGGAGCGCUUUUAUUAGAUCAAAACCAAUCGGUGGCGGGCUCGCCCGUCAUCGUACAUUUUGGUGACUCUGAAUAACUUUUUGCUGAUCGCACGGUCACGCACCGGCGACGCAUCUUUCAAAUGUCUGCCUUAUCAACUGUCGAUGGUAGGUUCUGCGCCUACCAUGGUUGUAACGGGUAACGGGGAAUCAGGGUUCGAUUCCGGAGAGGGAGCCUGAGAAACGGCUACCACAUCCAAGGAAGGCAGCAGGCGCGCAAAUUACCCACUCCCGGCACGGGGAGGUAGUGACGAAAAAUAACGAUACGGGACUCAUCCGAGGCCCCGUAAUCGGAAUGAGUACACUCUAAACUCUUUAACGAGAACCCAUUGGAGGGCAAGUCUGGUGCCAGCAGCCGCGGUAAUUCCAGCUCCAAUAGCGUAU